Molecule: ribosomal RNA, 433 nt
Filed under: Hepatozoon canis
Lineage: Eukaryota; Apicomplexa; Hepatozoidae
Description: bacterial SSU rRNA
Rfam family: Eukaryotic small subunit ribosomal RNA
Source: RNAcentral
ACCACAUCUAAGGAAGGCAGCAGGCGCGCAAAUUACCCAAUUCUAACAGUUUGAGAGAGGUAGUAACAAGAAAUAACAAUACAAGGCAAUUAAAAUGCUUUGUAAUUGGAAUGAUAGAAAUUUAAACCCUUUUUAAAGUAUCAAUUGGAGGGCAAGUCUGGUGCCAGCAGCCGCGGUAAUUCCAGCUCCAAUAGCGUAUAUUAAAAUUGUUGCAGUUAAAAAGCUCGUAGUUGAAGUUCUGCUAAAAGUAACCGGUCUGCUUUUAAUAAAAGUGGUAUCUUGGUGUGUAUUUAGCAAUGAUGUCCUUUGAAGUGUUUUUUACUUUAUUGUAAUAAAGCAUAUUCAGGACUUUUACUUUGAGAAAAUUAGAGUGUUUCUAGCAGGCCGACGCUUUGAAUACUGCAGCAUGGAAUAAUAAGAUAGGAUUUUAGUU